Molecule: long non-coding RNA, 710 nt
Filed under: Citrus sinensis (sweet orange)
Lineage: Eukaryota; Viridiplantae; Streptophyta; Magnoliopsida; Sapindales; Rutaceae
Description: long non-coding RNA (CSIN_LNC005139)
Source: RNAcentral
AAAGAUUAUAAAUAGUCGAAAUAAUGAUAAUCUAAGGGGUCCGGUCAUAAUAAUUUGAUUUUUAUUUAUAUUAAUUAUAUAAAAAAGAGUACUCGAGAUUAUAUAUAUCCAACAGCUAAAAUUUCAAAACAAUAUUUGCCAAAGUCUGAUGAAGAGAAUACAUAUAUAUAACAUGCACUCGCACACAUUCUAUUGUUUAAUUAAAAAAUUCGAAAGCCCAUUAUAUACAUGAUAAAGACUUACCGACACCGAACCAUAUUCAUUUAAAGGAAUUGUUUUCAACUGAGAUUUAAAAUUAUUUACACAAACACGCCCGAUUUUUUCUUUUUUUUAAAAAUUACUAAUAAUAAAAUAUUUCAGUCGUCCUCUGUUCGGCUGUCAAAAACCCAUUAAGAUCGAUUUGAACAGAAGGUAUAUGGGUUAACAAUCCUCCAUCCUUUCUGCACUUCUCUUCCAUCAACGGACAGCGAUAGAUACUUAAUUGCAAAAGUGAGGAAGGCAGGCCCUUCUCCGGAAAGUAUUUGAGCUUGGGACAAUCCACGAGAUUUAAGUGGGUGAGGUUUUGAAGAUCAACAAUUGAAGAAGAUAGGCGUUCCAGAUUUGGAAAAUCUACAAUCCUCAGAGAUGUUAGAGAGGCAGGAAGAGGAAGCGCGGUCCCUAAUCUUUUGUCCUCUAGUGGAAAUGACACCAUGUCGUCAUCACAUCCNNNN